GGCCGAGUGGCGGAAUUGGCAGACGCACGGGACUUAAAAUCCCGAGUCCGUAAAGGGCGUGGGGGUUCGAGUCCCCCCUCGGCUA
RNAcentral lists this transfer RNA (85 nucleotides) under Symmachiella dynata. It matches the Rfam family "tRNA". From Rfam's summary of the family: Transfer RNA (tRNA) molecules are approximately 80 nucleotides in length. Their secondary structure includes four short double-helical elements and three loops (D, anti-codon, and T loops). The record is from Rfam by way of RNAcentral. Lineage: Bacteria; Pseudomonadati; Planctomycetota; Planctomycetia; Planctomycetales; Planctomycetaceae.